CAAUAGCGUAUAUUAAAGUUGCUGCAGUUAAAAAGCUCGUAGUUGGAUUUCUGGUUGAAGCGACCGGUCGGGCGUUGAUUCGUCUGCACUGGAGUCGGUUUUGGCCAUCCUCUAGGAAAGUGCGUCUGGUAUUAAGUUAUCGGGCGUAUGAUCCUGGUCUUUUACUGUGAAAAAAUUAGAGUGUUUAAAGCAGGCCUUCGCCUUGAAUACAUUAGCAUGGAAUAAUAAGAUAGGACUUUGGUCUAUUUUGUUGGUUUGCAGACCGAAGUAAUGAUUAAUAGGGAUAGUUGGGGGUAUUUAUAUUCCGAUGUCAGAGGUGAAAUUCUUAGAUUUUCGGAAGAUAAACUUAUGCGAAAGCAUUUACCAAGGAUGUUUUCAUUA
Molecule: ribosomal RNA, 381 nt
Filed under: uncultured eukaryote
Lineage: Eukaryota
Description: partial 18S ribosomal RNA
Rfam family: Eukaryotic small subunit ribosomal RNA
Source: RNAcentral